CAGCAGCCGCGGUAAUACGGAGGGGGCUAGCGUUGUUCGGAAUUACUGGGCGUAAAGCGCACGUAGGCGGCUUGGUAAGUUAGAGGUGAAAGCCCAGGGCUCAACCCUGGAAUUGCCUUUAAGACUGCCGAGCUAGUAGGUGAGAGAGGUAAGUGGAAUUCCGAGUGUAGAGGUGAAAUUCGUAGAUAUUCGGAAGAACACCAGUGGCGAAGGCGGCUCACUGGCUCAUACUGGACGCUGAGGUGCGAAAGCGUGGGGAGCAAACAGGAUUAGAUACCCGCGUAGUCCCUGUCUCUUAUAC
Molecule: ribosomal RNA, 301 nt
Filed under: uncultured bacterium
Lineage: Bacteria
Description: partial 16S ribosomal RNA
Rfam family: Bacterial small subunit ribosomal RNA
Source: RNAcentral